This is a long non-coding RNA of Oryctolagus cuniculus (rabbit), 1797 nucleotides long. The record is from Ensembl. NCBI's taxonomy places the organism in Eukaryota, Metazoa, Chordata, Mammalia, Lagomorpha, Leporidae.
GGAGACUGCGGGCCCUCGCCCUGGCCCCGGUGCCACCAGUUUCCCUUGGCCGGGAUUCUUUGUGGCCUAGGCAGGCAGGCGCCCAUGCUGUCUCCACUCUGACCUAGGCACCCACCCACAUGAGGCGUCGGGAGGUGUGGGGCCGGGAGAACAUUGCUCUGCCUGGUUUCCUAGGCGGAGGCAGGUGUGUUGUCGGCAGAGACCCUCACUCAGGCCAAGUGCGUGAUGUCUCUUCUUCUUCCGCAGACGCCGAGCCCGGCACCCGGGAACCUGUUCCGGACGUGCCGCUCCCAACCAUGACUCCCAGCAUCGAGGAGGCUGACCACGACCACGACCACGACCACGACCACGACCACGACGCCGAGCCCGGCACCCGGGAACCUGUUCCGGACGUGCCGCUCCCAACCAUGACUCCCAGCACCGAGGAGGCUGACCACGACCACGACCACGACCACGACCACGACCACGACCACGACGCCGAGCCCGGCACCCGGGAACCCGUUCCGGACGUGCCGCUCCCAACCAUGACUCCCAGCACCGAGGAGGCUGACCACGACCACGACCACGACCACGACCACGACGCCGAGCCCGGCACCCGGGAACCUGUUCCGGACGUGCCGCUCCCAACCAUGACUCCCAGCACCGAGGAGGCUGACCACGACCACGACCAUGACCACGACCCCGACCCCGAGCACGACCACGACCACGACCACGACCACGACCACGACCACGGUAGGGGCCCGUGUGCCUUGUGUCCUCUGCCCCUGGGAGCCCGCUGGGUUGCCGGGGCUCCUUGAGCGAGAACGGGCUUUCCUAUUGCCUCCGGGACCGGGAAGGUGUCGCCAUGCGAUUCCUUGUCCCGAAACGCUGGCCUGUGCUCUGGAGCUGCGGGGACGUCCUCGGGGCUCUGCCCGGGAAGGAUGUGCUCCCUGGGGAGAGAGGGGCCGCGGUGCGAGUCAGGCGCUCCGAGACGGGGCCGUGUGUCCUCCCGGGUGCUCUGGUUGGCUGCACGCUGCCUGGGCCUGUCCGCAGGUUGUCCGUUUCUCUGCGUGGUGGUCUGCUGACCCGUGCGGGAGGGGCGUAGGCUUCCCCGCCCCCCACGUCUGCUCCCGCCAUGACCCACCCCGGGGGUCUGGUGCAGCACUCCCAGCCCGCAUGCCUGGCGUGGCCACGGAGGCUGCGAGUGCAGAAGCCUCAUGGGACCCGGCGUGGAGUGCCCCACUGCCCCUGGUGGCCCAGUGUGCGCAGCGGACUUAGGCGCGGGCACGCUGGGCUCCGCGAGGGUGGUGCUCUGUGCCUCUGCCUCUCCUGAGACGUCCUUGCCUUCCUCUUGGCGUUGGCUGGUCUCCGAGCUCCCGGGACAGCGUCCAGGAGGCGUGGCCGCUGCCUGAGGACAAGUCCUCGAUGUGCCUGCCCUCUGACGCUGGCACGAGCGUGUUCUGGACCCGUGCCGUGCCCCCAGGCAGCUGGGGAGUUGUCUGCCUUGUAGUGCGGCGGGCCACCAGGAGAAUCUGACCCAGUGUCCUGGAUGGGCCAGUUCCCAGUCGUGCGCUCGUGGCCCAGACCAGACCCGGGCUGGUGUGUGGAGCCAGCCACGCGGGCCCGUCUGUCCUCCGUGCCCUGAGUGGGCGCAGAUGAGAGAGGGCGCGGUUGCUCCGUCCGCUUUUCUCCCCUCUCGCCCCCAUGCGGGGAGCCGUCCAGCGAGGCCUGGCUGGACUGAGCCCGUGCCGGACACGGUGCUCCGUUGCCGUCCUGGAGGGCCCAGAGGAUUGCUCGAGGUGUGCCCACCAGGCCCCU